Molecule: long non-coding RNA, 1512 nt
Organism: Cebus imitator (Panamanian white-faced capuchin)
Lineage: Eukaryota; Metazoa; Chordata; Mammalia; Primates; Cebidae
Exons: 3
Source: RefSeq, a predicted model, not a curated record
AACUGCAACACAGAGUCAACCAUGAGCUCCCCUGCCCAGCCCACGCCAGGCCAUGCCAGCUGAGGUGACCGCCUGCUUCACUAAUACAACCAGUUAUGCUGAAGCCUGCAUUCAGGCACUCACUCGGGAGUGUUUGAAGGAUGGAAUUUGCAUCAAGAUAUGCUGACACUGGCUGUCCAGGAUGCCCGCAGCCUUUAGACGGUGAUGUUUGACACCAUCCGCUCCCAUCAUUAAUAUUGUACAGUUGUAUCUGAAGAUAGCUCGAGUGUGGAAUGCAGGUUGUCAACCUGGCCAUGCUUAUUUUUCAUUUAUUGUCUGCUUUGCCUCCCACUAGACUGUAAGUUUUAUGGAAACAGAAAUCCAUCUUCCUUUGCCUCACUGCCCUUGAGCAAUGCCUGAAAACAUCAGGCAUUGGGUGUUUAGUAAACAAAUACCCAGGAUAAGAAAAGAUGAUGACUUUGCUUAGUAAUGGAGAUACUCUCUUUCUCUCUCAAGUUACGUGAAGCCCUGUUUUCACUGGGCAUGCUGCAUUCAGCCAAGAGACCGCAUUCCUCAAUCUCUGUCUCUUCCAGGGAGAUGUGGCCACAGGACUCGGUUCUGACCAAGGAGCUGAGAUUUGAUGGCUGGAGCCUCAACACCAUUCUGGACUCUUAGUGGGGAGCCAUACCUAGGAAUGGCUGGGUGGAAGGCCUGAUUGAGGCUGGGUCCCUGAUGACCGAGGGGCCAACACACCAGCCCUGGACUGCCAGCCUCCAGGUCUCCUAGGUGAUCUAUCUUAGAUCCAGCAACCCCACCGUUUCCCAGGAGAGCCCCAUCUUCACUCCGAGCAUGUGGUUCUGAGCCCACCUUCCUAACCAUUGCUGGUUGGCUCAGGAAGGGCCCCUGUCCCAAGCUGGUCCAAUCAGAGUUCUUCCUGGGAUUUUUCUAGAUGGAAGUGAGCAAAGAAGAUACUCUAUUCAACCCAGUGAAAACACCAUGAGACUUGAAGCAUGGAAGCUGCAUUACUCCUAUGUUUCCUGCCAGGUAGAACAAAGUGCUGAGAGAAUCAAACCAGAAAACAAAGAGAAGAGGAGCAAGAGAUGGAAAGUGACCCCGGGCAUGUACAUCCCUAAGCCCCAGCUGAUUACAUCAGCCAGAAAGCUCUCCUUGUGACCUAGGCUAGUAUGAGUGGGAUCCCUGUCACUUGUGAUCAAAGCAGUCCUGAUCCAGAAAGGCAGGGACUGGCUGAGGGCGGCCUGACAUUGGUGGCUGAGGGUUUAUACCAUCACACUUCAGAAAGUCAGAGUCACUAAGACUCUUUGCCCAGGAAGGCCACAGGUAUACAAAAAAGAUACUUUUAGAGAAACCAAUCUGGCUGCAGUGAGAGCAAUGGGCUGGAGGGGGCCAGGGCUGGAGGAACAGGUCAGAGUCUUUUGAAAUGUGCUGACGAUGACCAGAUCUCCAUCUCCAGCCCUUAGGGUUGGUGCCUGGUAGGGAUAUUUACUGGAAUCCAUGUUUGAGCUGAGAUGUCAA